Molecule: RNA transcript, 2221 nt
Organism: Lolium rigidum
Lineage: Eukaryota; Viridiplantae; Streptophyta; Magnoliopsida; Poales; Poaceae
Exons: 5
Source: RefSeq, a predicted model, not a curated record
CAGGCAAGUGAGCGGAAAAAAUGUCCGACCGAAGCUUGCCACGCUCUAUCCCUCCCAAACCCUACUUCCUCUCCCAUCCAACUCUUCCUGGCGGCGGCUAUCGGGCGUAGCACAACGAGCGGGCAGCUGGCGGCGGGGAGCGGCGACCUCCUGUGUGGUGGUGGAGAGAGCAUGGGCAGCUGAGUCGGCUCUCUGUGCCAGCACAGCCGCCGCACGCCGGUGCGGAGAACCGCUGGGGCAGAUCUCGGCGGCGGCACCGAGAAGCCCAUCUCUGUACAACGGGCAGUGUGUCGGCCUCUUCUCCUCCAAGAUGCUGCUGCCGCCGGUAUGGAUGGCCGCCACGCGCCACUCCGGCUCCUCGGCCGCGUCCUCCGAUGGCGAAGAAGAGAGCAUGGCCUCGUGGGGGAUCACCGAGGAUUCCGGCAACAACCCGUCUCUGUACAACCGGCCGCGCGUCGGCCUCUUCUCCGCCAAGAGCCUACCUCCAUCUGUAUGAACAACCGCCUCGGAUCCUCGACCGCCGCUCCGUGGUGCGACCCGUGGCCGCCUUUGCCAGGAAGUGCUCCCGUCUUCAAGAUCCUCCCGUGGACUACAACUGGUAUGCAAUGAUGCUUCUCUAGCUUUCUGCUGGAUAUUUUGCUCUGAAAAUUAGCGAUAACUCAAUUCUGUUGGCUAAUAUUUCCAUGUGUAUACAUUCUUCAUAAUUAGACGUUUGUAUAGAUGCUCAGUUCUUAUGACAAAAUUAAGAAUCUACUUUAUACAGGAACGCCUGGACAUUUGGGGCAGUACAUACUAAUAAAAUAAGUUGUUCCGAUUGCAAGACAUCAUUGCUAAAUUGUGGACAGUGUGACUCUACUUUCGUUUAUAAACUGCAGACAGGCUAUCCAAGCUGAAAAGGAAGGUACCUAGGCUAUUAAUUUUCACCAAAUGCAGUGGGGAUAUAAGAUCUUGCUUUGGAUUUCUAAAAAAUUCUUACACCAGCAGCGACAACGACAGCAUUGAUGUUCAUGGAUACUGAAGAUAAUCCGUCAUUGAUCCCUUUAUCCCACAUUCAAAAAAAAAUCCAAGGAAAAUAUUUCUCUCAAAUAUUGUAUCUCAUAUCUCAUCUCUUCAGAUUGUGUGCAUGGCGGCAAAAUGAAACGUGGCGGGCGGAUGUUCGUGACUUCUUCUCACACCUCAGAUAUUCAAUCUGCCUCCAAGUUUAUCUGCUUGCUUUUCUCUGUUCAGUUGGAACCUGUUCUUUGGGGUAUCAGGACGGCAUAUGGCUAGCCCGUCCUUAUUUUAUAUAACGAGCUGGCAGAAAGAUCGGCAAGGGAAAGCUUCUAUUUCCUGGGUGAAUUAUUUAUAUUCGGUGAAGGGACUCUUGGAUGGUUUUCAGAUGCCACGAGUUGCAUGAAUGUGAUGCAAGUAUCAGCAUCGGCUGCUUACGUUUUCAACAUGCAUCUUCCUACUAGCGUUCACUUUGGUGACUAUCCGGAUGUCUAUCUAAUCAAGAGGCCGGCCCAGAUGCAAGCCAUGACACGGCAUGGCGCUGCAGUUGACCCUAGAGUGCACGAUCUGUUCCAGGCUUUGAAGAUUGUCACCAUCUGUGAUGGGCGACGUGCUGAAUUCUGGGACACCCACUGGAUUAAUGGGCGCCGGCCUUCAGAACUCUGGCUUGUGCUCUGGAGCCAUUCCACUUGUCGAAAUCUUACUAUGUGUGCGGCCAGCACUGGCAACUUAUGGCUCCGGUAUGUCAAAGGCUAACCCACCUGUGAUGGUUCUCUGCAACCUCAGCGAGCUUUGGCAGCACACUCAGCUCCUCAUGCUGGUCGACGGCGAGGGCGACCGUGAUUUCCUCACCUGGUGUGGUGGUGCAUCCAGCAUAACCCUUUGCUGCCUACUGUGCUCCUAAUGCCCUGGUAGCUCCUUGCAUUACUCUCCCAAUCUGAUGCGUAGGUUUGCAAGGCAGCCACAGUACUCACUGUUUGGAUGAUCUGUAAGGAGCGUAAUGGCCGCUUCUUUGAACCAUGCUGCACCUCUGUUCGGUAGGUUUUCAAGCGCCUGGUGGAUGAGGCAAAAGAAAUUGGUGAGAUGCGGGCCUUCUUGCCAAUGUGAUUAGAGACCCAAAUUAGAUGCUAUUAUAUUCAGCUUGAUCGAUGUUUAAUUCUUUAGUUUUGGGCCUGAUCUUUUCACUGCCCCUCUUAACCUUGUAAAUAACAUUUUGUUGUUUGUUUGCUCA